GUUCAGUAGCCAUCGGAGUUAGACAAGCAGCUAACAUUUUCCAAUGUCUGCACGUUAUCUAUGCGGUGGAGAAUAAAUUCGAUAUCAAGAUACGACAUUUAAGAAUUAACUGAAAAGAUGCUUUUCAAUACUUUCAUGGCGGUCACAGUUUUCAUCAAUCUUCUUGUCAGUUCCGAUUGUAGGUACAACAAGACAAGCAGAGAACUCGAGAGAGCUCCAUUCUCGCCUAAAACAACACCAAGUACUACCAUAAAAGGAGUCCCGACGACUAAGACAAUUACAA
Molecule: long non-coding RNA, 283 nt
Organism: Xenia sp. Carnegie-2017
Lineage: Eukaryota; Metazoa; Cnidaria; Anthozoa; Malacalcyonacea; Xeniidae
Exons: 4
Source: RefSeq, a predicted model, not a curated record